UCGAGCGGAUGAGAGGAGCUUGCUCCUGAAUUCAGCGGCGGACGGGUGAGUAAUGCCUAGGAAUCUGCCUGGUAGUGGGGGACAACGUUUCGAAAGGAACGCUAAUACCGCAUACGUCCUACGGGAGAAAGCAGGGGACCUUCGGGCCUUGCGCUAUCAGAUGAGCCUAGGUCGGAUUAGCUAGUUGGUGAGGUAAUGGCUCACCAAGGCGACGAUCCGUAACUGGUCUGAGAGGAUGAUCAGUCACACUGGAACUGAGACACGGUCCAGACUCCUACGGGAGGCAGCAGUGGGGAAUAUUGGACAAUGGGCGAAAGCCUGAUCCAGCCAUGCCGCGUGUGUGAAGAAGGUCUUCGGAUUGUAAAGCACUUUAAGUUGGGAGGAAGGGUUGUAGAUUAAUACUCUGCAAUUUUGACGUUACCGACAGAAUAAGCACCGGCUAACUCUGUGCCAGCAGCCGCGGUAAUACAGAGGGUGCAAGCGUUAAUCGGAAUUACUGGGCGUAAAGCGCGCGUAG
RNAcentral lists this ribosomal RNA (517 nucleotides) under Pseudomonas sp. RNAcentral's name for it is "bacterial SSU rRNA". It matches the Rfam family "Bacterial small subunit ribosomal RNA", at positions 62 to 574 of the family's 1533-position model. The record is from RNAcentral. Lineage: Bacteria; Pseudomonadati; Pseudomonadota; Gammaproteobacteria; Pseudomonadales; Pseudomonadaceae.